AUGGCAAAAGCUAUACCAAAAAUUGGUUCACGUAAGAAAGUGCGUAAUGGUUUACGUAGGAAUGCACGUUUUAGUUUACGGAAGAGUGCAUGUAGAAUAACGAAAGGGGUUAUUCAUGUUCAAGCUAGUUUCAACAAUACCAUUAUAACUGUUAUAGACCCACAAGGUCGGGUGUUUUGGUCCUCGGCCGGUACUUGUGGAUUCAAAAGCUCAAGAAAGUCACCCUAUGCUGGUCAAAGAACAUCAGUAGAUGCUAUUCGUACAGUAGGUUUGCAACGAGCGAAAGUUAUGGUAAAGGGCGCUGGUCAAGCGGACACCAUCGGUAUUACCUUGCGAAGAGCUUUACUUGGAGAAAUAGAAGGAACAUGUAUCACACGUGCAAAAUUUGGGAGCGUGCCCCACGAGUAUUCUACAAUAGCAGGUAUUGAAGAAUCCGUACAAGAAAUUUUACUACAUUUGAAAGAAAUUGUAUUGAGUAGUAGUCUCUAUGGAGUUAGAGACGCAUCCAUUUGCGUCAAAGGUCCUAGAUACAUAACUGCUCAAGCUAUCAUCUUAUCGCCUUCCGUAGAAAUCGUUGAUACGGCACAACCUAUAGCUAACUUGACAGAGCCCUUUGAUUUCUGUAUUGUCGUAUACUAA
This 639-nucleotide ribosomal RNA is filed under the name Triticum aestivum (bread wheat). RNAcentral's name for it is "partial small subunit ribosomal RNA". Lineage: Eukaryota; Viridiplantae; Streptophyta; Magnoliopsida; Poales; Poaceae. The record is from RNAcentral.